CUCCUACGGGAGGCAGCAGUGAGGAAUAUUGGUCAAUGGGCGCUAGCGUGAACCAGCCAAGUAGCGUGAAGGAUGAAGGCUCUAUGGGUCGUAAACUUCUUUUAUAUAAGAAUAAAGUGCAGUAUGUAUACUGUUUUGUAUGUAUUAUAUGAAUAAGGAUCGGCUAACUCCGUGCCAGCAGCCGCGGUAAUACGGAGGAUCCGAGCGUUAUCCGGAUUUAUUGGGUUUAAAGGGAGCGUAGGUGGACUGGUAAGUCAGUUGUGAAAGUUUGCGGCUCAACCGUAAAAUUGCAGUUGAUACUGUCAGUCUUGAGUACAGUAGAGGUGGGCGGAAUUCGUGGUGUAGCGGUGAAAUGCUUAGAUAUCACGAAGAACUCCGAUUGCGAAGGCAGCUCACUGGACUGCAACUGACACUGAUGCUCGAAAGUGUGGGUAUCAAACAGGAUUAGAUACCCUGGUAGUCCACACAGUAAACGAUGAAUACUCGCUGUUUGCGAUAUACAGUAAGCGGCCAAGCGAAAGCAUUAAGUAUUCCACCUGGGGAGUACGCCGGCAACGGUGAAACUCAAAGGAAUUGACGGGGGCCCGCACAAGCGGAGGAACAUGUGGUUUAAUUCGAUGAUACGCGAGGAACCUUACCCGGGCUUAAAUUGCAGUGGAAUGAUGUGGAAACAUGUCAGUGAGCAAUCACCGCUGUGAAGGUGCUGCAUGGUUGUCGUCAGCUCGUGCCGUGAGGUGUCGGCUUAAGUGCCAUAACGAGCGCAACCCUUAUCUUUAGUUACUAACAGGUUAUGCUGAGGACUCUAGAGAGACUGCCGUCGUAAGAUGUGAGGAAGGUGGGGAUGACGUCAAAUCAGCACGGCCCUUACGUCCGGGGCUACACACGUGUUACAAUGGGGGGUACAGAAGGCAGCUAGCGGGUGACCGUAUGCUAAUCCCAAAAGCCUCUCUCAGUUCGGAUCGAAGUCUGCAACCCGACUUCGUGAAGCUGGAUUCGCUAGUAAUCGCGCAUCAGCCACGGCGCGGUGAAUACGUUCCCGGGCCUUGUACACACCGC
This 1056-nucleotide ribosomal RNA is filed under the name uncultured bacterium. RNAcentral describes it as "bacterial SSU rRNA". It matches the Rfam family "Bacterial small subunit ribosomal RNA", at positions 336 to 1393 of the family's 1533-position model. The record is from RNAcentral.